This 274-nucleotide ribosomal RNA is filed under the name uncultured bacterium. RNAcentral's name for it is "partial 16S ribosomal RNA". It matches the Rfam family "Bacterial small subunit ribosomal RNA", at positions 523 to 796 of the family's 1533-position model. The record is from RNAcentral.
AUACGGAGGGUGCAAACGUUGUUCGGAAUCACUGGGCGUAAAGGGCGCGCAGGCGGUUUGAUUAGUCAGAUGUGAAAGCCCACGGCUUAACCGUGGAAGUGCAUUUGAAACUGUCAGACUUGAGUACCAGAGGGGGUAGUGGAAUUCCCGGUGUAGAGGUGAAAUUCGUAGAUAUCGGGAGGAAUACCGGUGGCGAAGGCGGCUACCUGGCUGGAUACUGACGCUGAGGCGCGAAAGCGUGGGGAGCAAACAGGAUUAGAAACCCUAGUAGUCC